UGGGGUGUGGCUCAGUAGUAGAGUGCUUGCCUAGCCAGUGUGAGGCAUUGGGUUUGAUCCUCAGCACCACAU
This 72-nucleotide transfer RNA is filed under the name Marmota monax (woodchuck). RNAcentral's name for it is "tRNA.Ala". Lineage: Eukaryota; Metazoa; Chordata; Mammalia; Rodentia; Sciuridae. The record is from RNAcentral.